Acanthosepion pharaonis is the source of this 94-nucleotide non-coding RNA. The record is from the annotation of a GenBank genome assembly. Lineage: Eukaryota; Metazoa; Mollusca; Cephalopoda; Sepiida; Sepiidae.
GUUGAAACACCGGUUCUUGUACGAUCACUGACGUUAAGCAACGUCGAGCUUGGUCAGUACCAAGAUGGGUGACUGCUUGGGAAUACAACUUGCU